GGCCCUUCGGGGUACUCGAGUGGCGAACGGGUGAGUAACACGUGGGUGAUCUGCCCUGCACUUUGGGAUAAGCCUGGGAAACUGGGUCUAAUACCGAAUAUGACCACGCGCUUCAUGGUGUGUGGUGGAAAGCUUUUGCGGUGUGGGAUGGGCCCGCGGCCUAUCAGCUUGUUGGUGGGGUAAUGGCCUACCAAGGCGACGACGGGUAGCCGGCCUGAGAGGGUGACCGGCCACACUGGGACUGAGAUACGGCCCAGACUCCUACGGGAGGCAGCAGUGGGGAAUAUUGCACAAUGGGCGCAAGCCUGAUGCAGCGACGCCGCGUGAGGGAUGACGGCCUUCGGGUUGUAAACCUCUUUCAAUAGGGACGAAGCGCGUUGACGGUACCUAUAGAAGAAGGACCGGCCAACUACGUGCCAGCAGCCGCGGUAAUACGUAGGGUCCGAGCGUUGUCCGGAAUUACUGGGCGUAAAGAGCUCGUAGGUGGUUUGUCGCGUUGUUCGUGAAAACUCACGGCUUAACUGUG
RNAcentral lists this ribosomal RNA (526 nucleotides) under Mycolicibacterium fortuitum. Its description in RNAcentral is "bacterial SSU rRNA". It matches the Rfam family "Bacterial small subunit ribosomal RNA", at positions 74 to 617 of the family's 1533-position model. Lineage: Bacteria; Bacillati; Actinomycetota; Actinomycetes; Mycobacteriales; Mycobacteriaceae. The record is from RNAcentral.